CUCUGUGGCGCAAUGGAUAGCGC
Molecule: non-coding RNA, 23 nt
Filed under: Cricetulus griseus (Chinese hamster)
Lineage: Eukaryota; Metazoa; Chordata; Mammalia; Rodentia; Cricetidae
Source: RNAcentral